CUAUCAAACCCAAAACCCCACUCCCACUUCCGUAUAGUUCAUAAAAACAAACUCCCUCAGCUCUUUCAAGCUUCAUUGCCUUCUUCAAUUCAACCUCCCUAUCCAUCCAUCCGUCCGUCCCAUCCCAUCCAAUCCGAUGGAGACCGUAUCCACCUGCACUCUAAAUCAACAUCCUUUUCUCACUAGUAACCCAAGACCCUUCGCCUCCAAUUUCGCCUAUGCCUCUUCCGUCUCAGCUCUUGGAUUUACUUUGCCUUCUUCCCAUAAAACUUCUGCCCCUCCAAAUCAACGCAGGAAAACUCUGGUGACUAGCUCUUCCAUUGCUGUUGAACACCACACUCAGACUAAGACUGCUGUCAUAAGAAUUGGAACAAGAGGGAGUCCACUAGCUCUUGCACAAGCUCAUGAGACACGGGACAAAUUGAUAGCAUCUCAUCCAGAACUGGCUGAAGAGGGGUCAAUUCAAAUUGUGAUAAUAAAAACAACAGGUGAUAAAAUCUUAAGCCAGCCACUAGCAGACAUAGGUGGGAAGGGCUUGUUCACCAAAGAAAUAGAUGAGGCUCUCAUUAAUGCAGACAUUGAUAUUGCUGUUCACUCAAUGAAAGAUGUUCCUACAUAUUUGCCUGAUAAGACAAUUUUGCCUUGCAAUCUUCCCCGCGAGGAUGUACGUGAUGCAUUUAUUUCUUUAACUGCAACUUCACUGGCAGAUCUUCCAGCUGGAGCAGUCGUGGGUACUGCUUCGCUGAGGAGGAAAUCGCAAAUUCUUCAUCGUUAUCCAUCUCUUAAGGUGCUUGAAAACUUUCGAGGGAAUGUUCAGACUAGGUUAAGAAAGCUGAAUGAUGGAGUCGUCCAAGCAACAUUAUUGGCAUUAGCUGGCCUCAAACGUCUAAAUAUGACAGAAAAUGUCACUUCUAUUCUUUCUAUGGAUGAUAUGCUUCCAGCUGUUGCUCAAGGGGCCAUUGGAAUUGCAUGUAGAAGCGAUGAUGAGAAGAUGGCCGGUUUUAUUGCCUCACUGAACCACGACGAAACCAGGUUGGCUGUUGCAUGUGAGAGAGCAUUUCUAGAAACGCUUGAUGGGUCUUGUCGCACGCCAAUAGCUGGAUAUGCUUCACGGGACGAGGAUGGUAAUUGUCUCUUUAGAGGAUUGGUGGCUUCCCCAGAUGGUACCCGAGUUCUUGAAACCUCCAGAAAAGGUUCAUACACUUUUGAAGAAAUGGUUGCCAUGGGCAAGGAUGCGGGCAAGGAACUUCUCUCAAAGGCUGGGCCAGGAUUUUUCGACAGUUAGACGACUAAAUGAGUGAGUACGAUGAAUUAGAGUAUGCUUCCAUUUAGACAUGUAUAGAGAAAGAGAGAGAUCCAAGCGGUGUUGCUGGGUUACCAAGUUUGGCGUUUGAGAUCUGCAACAUGCAACCUGGCGUUUGGCCUCGACGGAUGGUAGUGGAUCUGAUGUUGCUGACGGCCCACUUUGUAUGUCAAGUCUGUUUGCGUCUGCUUGGUUGGAUCCAUCUAUUGGACUGCUGGAAAAGUAGGUUUGCUAUCACUUUGGCCCAUUCAUAUACUUCUCCGUCCUUCGAUUUCUAACAUUUUUCUCCUCAGAAGUGUUUUUUUUUUCCUCAUUGUCUAAACUCUCUUUCUGUCUUCGUCCGUUGUCUUCCAAAAACUUACAUAUGCACCGCAUCCAAACACCAGCAAUAUGUGAAUGUGAUGACAAACAUCUCGGAGUUUUCCUUGCUA
Molecule: RNA transcript, 1734 nt
Organism: Coffea arabica (coffee)
Lineage: Eukaryota; Viridiplantae; Streptophyta; Magnoliopsida; Gentianales; Rubiaceae
Gene name: porphobilinogen deaminase, chloroplastic
Source: RefSeq, a predicted model, not a curated record